Molecule: long non-coding RNA, 3733 nt
Filed under: Hordeum vulgare
Lineage: Eukaryota; Viridiplantae; Streptophyta; Magnoliopsida; Poales; Poaceae
Description: long non-coding RNA (HVUL_LNC014164)
Source: RNAcentral
CGAUGCUGCGGAAGUUCUGUCCCACGCCCUGCCUGCCGGCGUUGACCUUCUCCGGGUAGACGCCGUCCUUGGGGUGGAGGUACUGCACCUCGCCGUUGGGGAAGACGCGGUAGAACUGGUAGGCGAUCUUGUACUUGGAGCGGAGGCGGUUGCCGAGGGCGAGGCACUGCUCCUUGCGGGCGAGCUUGAGGAGGUUGGGGCCCUCGCGCAUGAUGGCGGCGCCGCCGGUGGGCAUCUCGAAGACCUGCUCCUUGGGGGAGGUCCAGGUGAUGACGUAGAACUCCUCGACCUGGGCCUUGCGGAGCAGCCCACCGGUGCUGCCGCCGAAGAUCGGGGACGGCGUGGACGGGUCCAGCUGCGGCGGCACGAAGCCCGCGGGGGCGGGCUCCGCCGGCGGCGCGGCGGGCGCGGGGGUGUCCGGGGCCGCGGCGAAGAGCGGGGCCGGGCCGCGGGCGGAGGAUGGCAUGGCGAGGGUGGCGGGGCGGGGCUUGGCGGAUGGCGACCAGGCCGCGGUGAUCAGGUGGCGCGUCGCCGCCGAGGCUUGCGUGGCCAUGGCCAUGGCGGUGGCGCUCUAGCUUGUGGUUCUUGGCGAGGAGAUGGGGAAGAGAGCGGAGACCACACGCGCGCGCGGGAGAUGGAGUGGUGUCUGGUGGGCGAUGAGUAGGAGAGGAUGGCUGAGCUAAGAGGUACGGGGGCUUGGGGUGGAGACGGUGGGGGGGAGUGGAUAAGGGGAUAUGGCGAUAUGAGGCCGGCCAAUGGGGAGUGCCGAUUUUGAUACGGCCGGGCUCUCCGCACCGCCACCACACACAUGUGCAUGUAUGCCCCGGUUGCCAUGACGCGCAGCGGCCACGCGACGAUAUUCUGAUCGCUCUCCACGGUUCAUCGUCUCUUGAUCCCGGCCACGUUCGCGUUUACGCUCAUGGUGCGUGAAGAAGCCAGAAAUAUACACCGUGUGUGUGCCACUUUUCGGUGUCACUGGCUUUUUUAUGGAACAAAACGUGCAUCUCAUUCUCAUCGAUAUCCGUCAAAGAAAGUGAAAAUUAUAUCUUUGCUCCUAAAAUUGUAUGUUUGCUCUCUCAUGUUUAUGUAAAGUUUGGCCAUUCGUUGCUGGAGGAACCCAUCGGACGAAGCCUGUCGGCCGAGGACGGUGGCGGAGGCGCUCUCCCCUCCCGGUUAGGUUUGGGUGAUGCAGGGCACCCACGGGCGUGGGGCACCUGCCUGGAUCUGGGUCACUGGCGGUGCGGCCUCUUUCCUCCGGCGAUGGUCCGUGAUGAUGGAUGUUUUAGAGUUGUUGAUAUAUUACUUUAUAAGAUAUUCAAGGAUAUUUAAUAAAAUGGUUGUAUGCAUCGUCCUGAUGCACAUGCUUUUCUAAAAAAACAAUUUGAGAGAACUAGGUUGUAGCCUAGUGGCAAGGGAGCGUAGUGGCGUCUUCAGCAACCAGGGUUCGAUCCACGUCGGGGACGAAUUUCUGGUUUCUCAUUAGGGAUGCUUCUUCUAUAUCAAUAAACCAUGGGUGCUAGUGCCCAUGGAGUUUCAUUUUUUUUUUUUAAAACAAUUUGAAUAGUUCAAAACCAGACCCAAGCGGUAAUCGGCAUGGAGCUAACAUGCCACUACUUUUUGGCUCACACUUGCUACGUUGUAGUCAAAACCAAUAUUUCUCCCACAUUCGUUCUUCUCUCUCUCUCAACUCGCCACAAGUGCACUCGAAACUUAACCGCGGUUGAUCCACUAGUAGAAAAAAAGGCUUUGGUCCACUUGAUGAAAUCUCAUUAGUCUCGGUUCACUCACGAACCGGGACCCAUGUGGGCAUAGGUCACGAUUCGUGAGGCCAGGGCGCCGGCCAGGCCUCAUGGGCCAUUUGUCCCGGUUCGUUUGUCACCUUCGGUCCCGGUUCCAAACACGAACCGGGACCAAUGUGCCUCUCUCCUGGCUCACAACCAGUAGUCCCAGUUUAUGGCUGGAACCGGGACCUCAGGUUGUCCUUUGGUCUCGGUUCUAGGCACAAACCGAGACCAACGGUUGGCCUAUAUAUACCCCCGCGAGCAGAGCAGUGCACUGCUUUGUUUUUUCGGACGGUUGUGGGAAAGCUUUGUGGUGCUCUAGCUCACCUCCUAUGCACAUGAGGUAUUCAAUGAAAUGUCCGAGCCACACUUAAGCUUUCUCCUUUAUAAGCUCCUUGUCCAAUCUCUAUUUUCAUCAAGAUUUGUGUAGUUUUCAAUACACUUUAUUAUAUAACUCACGCAGAUGAACCGUCAAUGGAUGUACAAUGACCGACGCACCUCUAAGUAUAUUAAUGUCCUGCAUAAUUUUCUCGAAGCGGCUAGGGCAAACAAGUGUAAUGGUUUUAUGCAUUGUCCAUGUACUGUUUGUGGGAAUACGAAGAAAUUCUCCGACUAUAAAACCCUUCACUUCCACCUGCUUCAGAAGGGUUUUAUGUCACACUAUAAUGUUUGGAUCAAGCAUGGAGAAAGAGGGGUUAUGAUGGAAGACAACAUAGAAGAAGAGGAUGAUGACAACUACCCGCCCCCUGAAUACGGUGAUGCUGCAAUGGGGGGGAGUUGAAGAUCAAGAGGAACCAGAUGAUGUGCCCGAUGAUGAUCUUCGUCGGGUCAUUGUUGAUGCACAUAGAGAAUGCGAAAGUGAAAGGGAGAAGUUGAAGUUCGAUCGCAUGUUAGAGGAUCACAAAAAAGGGUUGUAUCCAAGUUGCGAAGAUGACAACACAAAGCUCGAUACCACACUAGAAUUGCUGCAAUGGAAGGCGGACAAUGGUGUAUCUAACAAGGCAUUUAGUUCGCUGCUAAAAUUAAUGAAGAAGAAGCUUCCAAAGGAUAAUUAAUUGCCCGGCAGUACGUACGAAGCGAAGAAGGUUCUAUGUCCUCUAGGAUUGGAGGUGCAGAAGAUACAUGCAUGCCCUAAUGACUGCAUCCUCCACCGCGGUGCGUACGAGAAUUUGAACGCAUGCCCGGUAUGCGGCGCAUUGCGGUAUAAGAUCAGAAGAGAUGACCCUGGUGAUGUUGAGGGCCAGCGCACCGGGAAGAUGGUUCCUGCCAAGGUGAUGUGGUAUGCUCCUAUAAUACCACGGUUGAAACGUUUGUUCAGAAACAAAAAGCAUGCCGAGUUGAUGCAAUGGCACAUAAAAGACCGUAAGAAAGACGGGAAGUUGAGAGCACCCGCUGACGGGUCGCAAUGGAGAAAGAUCAAGAGAAAGUGGAGCGACUUUACACGUGACCCAAGGAACGUAUGGUUUGGUUUAAGUGCAGAUGGCAUUAGUCCUUUUGGGGACAGAGCAGCAAGGCAUAGCACAUGGCAUGUGACUCUAUGUAUGUAUAACCUUCCUCCUUGAUUGUGCAUGAAGCGAAAGUUCAUUAUGAUGCGAGUGCUCAUCAAAGGCCCUAGGCAACCCGGCAAUGACAUUGAUGUGUACCUAAGGCCAUUAGUUGAUGAACUUUUACAGCUAUGGAAUGGAAAUGGUGUACGUGUGUGGGAUGAGAACGAACAGGAGGAAUUUAACCUACAUGCUUUGUUGUUUGUAACCAUCAACGAUUGGCCUGCUCUCAGUAAUCUUUCAGGACAGACAAACAAGGGAUACAACACAUGCACACACUGUUUAGAUGACACCGACAGUAUAUAUUUGGACAAAUGCAGGAAGAAUGUGUACAUGGGGCAUCGUCGAUUUCUUCCGACCAACCAUCAAUGUCGAAAGAAAGGAAAGCAUUUCAAAGGUGGGGCAGAU